AGUGUGAUUGCUGUAUCCUGUGAUAAGAGUAUGUUUGUAAGAAACUGCCAGACUGUUUUCCAAAAUUGCCUUACUAUUUUGCAUUUCCUACAGCAAU
This 97-nucleotide microRNA precursor is filed under the name Marmota monax (woodchuck). The record is from RNAcentral. Lineage: Eukaryota; Metazoa; Chordata; Mammalia; Rodentia; Sciuridae.